RNAcentral lists this ribosomal RNA (816 nucleotides) under uncultured Actinomycetes bacterium. RNAcentral describes it as "bacterial SSU rRNA". It matches the Rfam family "Bacterial small subunit ribosomal RNA", at positions 67 to 893 of the family's 1533-position model. The record is from RNAcentral. Lineage: Bacteria; Bacillati; Actinomycetota; Actinomycetes.
CGGUAAGGCUCCAGCUUGCUGGGGUACACGAGUGGCGAACGGGUGAGGUAACACGUGGGUGACCUGCCCUGCACUUCGGGAUAAGCCUGGGAAACUGGGUCUAAUACCGGAUAGGACCGCACCGUGAGGGUGUGGUGGAAAGUUUUUUCGGUGUGGGAUGGGCCCGCGGCCUAUCAGCUUGUUGGUGGGGUAAUGGCCUACCAAGGCGGCGACGGGUACCGGCCUGAGAGGGUGGACGGCCACAUUGGGACUGAGACACGGCCCAGACUCCUACGGGAGGCAGCAAGUGGGGAAUAUUGCACAAUGGGCGGAAGCCUGAUGCAGCGACGCCGCGUGGGGGAUGACGGCCUUCGGGUUGUAAACUCCUUUCACCAUCGACGAAGGGUUUCUGACGGUAGGUGGAGAAGAAGCACCGGCUAACUACGUGCCAGCAGCCGCGGUAAUACGUAGGGUGCGAGCGUUGUCCGGAAUUACUGGGCGUAAAGAGCUCGUAGGUGGUUUGUCGCGUCGUCUGUGAAAUUCCGGGGCUUAACUCCGGGCGUGCCAGGCGAUACGGGCAUAACUUGAGUACUGUAGGGGAGACUGGAAUUCCUGGUGUGGCGGUGAAAUGCGCAGAUAUCAGGAGGAACACCGGUGGCGAAGGCGGGUCUCUGGGCAGUAACUGACGCUGAGGAGCGAAAGCAUGGGGAGCGAACAGGAUUAGAUACCCUGGUAGUCCAUGCCGUAAACGGUGGGCGCUAGGUGUGGGUUUCCUUCCACGGGAUCCGUGCCGUAGCUAACGCAUUAAGCGCCCCGCCUGGGGAGUACGCCGCAAGG